Molecule: long non-coding RNA, 1763 nt
Organism: Hypomesus transpacificus
Lineage: Eukaryota; Metazoa; Chordata; Actinopteri; Osmeriformes; Osmeridae
Exons: 2
Source: RefSeq, a predicted model, not a curated record
UUCAAUUUCAUGCGAUUGUACUGAGUGAUUCUUGUUCCAUAAACACCUUGUACAAUCCAACUCAAAUAAAUGUGAGCUAAAUAAAAAUUCUGCUUUUCCUCACCAUCAGAUUGUCCACUACGGGAAUUCAGGAGGGGGAGAUUCCCCGACUGCAUGGAAUACAGGAUAACAUCACAUAUCCUACCUUUGGAUAACUGCAGAACACAGUGUAUAUGUAACCAGGGUGAAACAGCGUUUUUUAGUUGUGUUGAAAUGUCACCAAUGCUGAUUUAAAUGUACCAGUAUAUGUUUAGGUACAUUUGGUAACCUGUUCCUUUGUUGAUGUGUUUUUGUACCUGUACUGUAGCUUUAAGAGAAGUCCGUGUUUUGUGACGUGUGUGUGGCGCCAAAGCUCAGAAGGCUUUUUACUGUCUGAGCGGAGGUAUGUUGUUGUGUUUCUCGUCAUAUUUUAGCAUAUAGGUCGUUUUGUGUACAAUGAAAAUGUUUAAUGUGUAACUAAGUGUGUUGUGAAUUAAGUGUGUGAACAUGUUACAGCGCUGCUUUGUUAGCUAGCACUUAGUAAAUGCACUUUUUGAGAGUUUUUGUUGUGUACAUGUGCGUCCGGGUAUUACAGUGUUUCCUCUUUAUUUGUUUGCUAGGAGGGAAUGUUGGUCCCGACUACGACCGUUUAUACUAUUGACACGUUGGUUUCUUUGGCUCAUACAGGUAUGAAUGUUUUAUGUUCUUUAUAUUAUCGAUGCUGGUUAUGUUUGUGUAUAUGCAGUGAAGUGCAUCUAGUAUGUUAUUCUAUUUAUUUUCAUAUUAUUUUAUACGUCGUCAGAAGGCUUUUUACUGUCUGAGCGGAGGAGGGAAUGUUGGUCCCGACUACGACCGUUUAUACUAUUGACACGUUGGUUUCUUUGGCUCAUACAGAAGCGAAUAAAUGAGAGAAAGCCAGCCUCCUUUGUGGUCCAGUCUCCCAUCCUUCCAUUCAUCCAACAUUCACACCCCCCCCCAGAACACAACGCAGACGAUUACGCCGUUAACGGAUGUGCACUUCUAUAUAUUAACACAAGAACUGUUGCACACCCGUUACAUUGGUGCCGUGACCUUUCAAGGAUUGGUUUAAAGGACGACAUCACCUCGUUCGCCGAGGAAGCUGCUGCCACUGGCCCUUUGUGGUACUGAGCUUUAAGAGAAGUCCGUGUUUUGUGACGUGUGUGUGGCGCCAAAGCUCAGAAGGCUUUUUACUGUCUGAGCGGAGGUAUGUUGUUGUGUUUCUCGUCAUAUUUUAGCAUAUAGGUCGUUUUGUGUACAAUGAAAAUGUUUAAUGUGUAACUAAGUGUGUUGUGAAUUAAGUGUGUGAACAUGUUACAGCGCUGCUUUGUUAGCUAGCACUUAGUAAAUGCACUUUUUGAGAGUUUUUGUUGUGUACAUGUGCGUCCGGGUAUUACAGUGUUUCCUCUUUAUUUGUUUGCUAGGAGGGAAUGUUGGUCCCGACUACGACCGUUUAUACUAUUGACACGUUGGUUUCUUUGGCUCAUACAGGUAUGAAUGUUUUAUGUUCUUUAUAUUAUCGAUGCUGGUUAUGUUUGUGUAUAUGCAGUGAAGUGCAUCUAGUAUGUUAUUCUAUUUAUUUUCAUAUUAUUUUAUACGUCGUCAGAAGGCUUUUUACUGUCUGAGCGGAGGAGGGAAUGUUGGUCCCGACUACGACCGUUUAUACUAUUGACACGUUGGUUUCUUUGGCUCAUACAGAAGCGAAUAAAUGAGAGAAAGCCAGCCUC